AUUCCCAUCUCUCUCCCUCUCUCUCUCUCGAAAAUCUCAGCUGAAAGAUGUAAGUUUUAUGAGUUUCGUUUGUUUAGUUUAGGUUUUAGGGCAAAUGAUUUCUCGUUAUGAUGUUGAUAGCUUCUUGUCCUGCUUCGUCUGAAUGCUUGAUUAUCGGUUUUGAUUAUGGAAAAAAUUCCCGUCUAUGAUUUUGAUAGAUUCUUGGUCUGCUUCGUGUGAAUGAAUCAUCGGUUUUGAUUUUGUCAAAUGAUUUUUUGUGUAUGAUGUUGAUAGCUUCUUAUAGGUUGUGGGAAUUAAAACUCUAAAAGUACAUAGAUUUUGAUCGGUUAUGUUGUUAACUCUCUGUCAAAAACAUUUCAUUUCUUGUUCUAAGUGUUAAUUUGUUUUUUAACUCGAGGUCUUAUGCGGAUUUUCUCGCCGGUUCUUUUCCAUCUUCCUCAUCUGCUGGUCUGGGUUCCCCGGCUGCACAAGGAACAAGUGUCCCUCAGCCACAGCCAGCAUCAAUCAUCGAGGAUAGGUUACUGAACGAGUUGUUGGUGGCACCAGGACGAGAGUUGCUUCCUAAGCUGAGCCCAAAUGGAGAACCAAAUACUAGCUGGUAAAUUUUUAACUCUUAAUCUAAUCAUUUCUAUUUUGCUAUGUGCUUAUGUAUUCAUUGUUUAUAGGUUUAGGCGAAGAAAUCGCAAUGCAAUUUGCAAGUCGAUUUUGAAAUGAUUUCACAGUCUCCUUGAGUUGCCUUAUCCGACGUAUGCACAUGUUCCAUUAGAAAUUCAGAAGAUGUGGCUCCGUUCAUUUGCGCAAGAUUGGAACUGGGACCCUGCUUUCACCAAUGAUGUGCGGACAGCCUUUAAUUUGCAGGCUAGAAAGCAGUACACGAGCAACGUGACUGAGUGGAAGAAAAAGUGGAGGCUGAAGAAGGAUAAACCCAUAUGUCUGAAUCAAGAUGUGUGGGACGGGUUUAAAGCCUAUUGGCAGCUCGAUGCUACUGCACAUAUUGCAGCUACCAAUUCUGUUAAUUGAAGAAGCAAGCGUGGUGGAAAAGGUGAAGCAGUACACAAUGGUGGUGCUAAGACACGAGAGGAACGUGAGAUAGAAAUGACUGCUGAAAGGGGUGGUGUGCCACCAGAUUGGUUAGAAUUGAUGAGGGAUAUGCACACCAAUAAACAAACCGGUGAGGUGCAAGAUCCUGUUGCGAGAGAGCUGUUGGCAACUCUGAGUAAGCUGAAGGAGGACAAAGAAGCACAACUUCAGCAGUCUCAUCAGUUGUCUGCGAAUGAUGGAUCUACAGCUUCUAAC
Molecule: long non-coding RNA, 1296 nt
Organism: Brassica napus (rape)
Lineage: Eukaryota; Viridiplantae; Streptophyta; Magnoliopsida; Brassicales; Brassicaceae
Exons: 3
Source: RefSeq, a predicted model, not a curated record